GGGUGGGGCUGAAGAAAACCUCCACCUGUCCCUCCCCCACAACACCAUUCCCACACUGGUCAAAUCCCCAGCUAAACACUGUCCUCCUACCUCGGCCUCAGCUGCAGAAGGAAGCUCAGCAUUCACCACAUGAAGCAUCUGGGAAAACCCAAGGCUGGCUAAAAUGUUGUGACUUACCCAAGGUUCACACAGCAAGGAGGGCAAAGCUGGGCUGAGACCAGGUGACCAGGGCCUGGUUGAUGGAGGCCAGGCAAACUGGAUUGGCUUCUGUUCCCUAUUCACCAAGAAUCAUAAUGGAAAGAAGUUAGAAAUAAAGGAGAAAACAGACACCGUAAAGGCUCACGAAGGAGACGGGACUUCAGAUUCAGAAAAACCAGUUCCUCCACCUGGAAGAGAAGGGGAUUGAACUUCACGUUGACUGAUGAUUCUUCUGGCUCCAGGGUUGGAGGAUGCGCCCCAGCAGCCCCACCUCGUCCCAGCAGGCUGCACCUCCUGGGAGCAACAGGUACAAAGCCGGGCUUCAGCUGGCGUGUUGAGGAUGGCACAGGGAAGAGUAGAAGUCCCAAGAUCAGAGUUUCCUGUGGCGGCCUUCCCAUGGUUUGGUGGCAGCAGUGGGAUCCAAGAGAAAUUCUUGGAAAGGAACCUGGUGAGGACUCUGGAAUGCAGAUUUUUGAAAACUUUCAGAUCAUAAAACUAAACUGGGUAUGAAUUUCCAAAAUGAGUAGAAGAAUGGAUUCAAACAGAAUUAAAUAGCAUGGAACCAAACAAACUGAAGAGGAUGAUCAUUUUUAUGACUCUUAUUUAAAAUAUCACUGGUUUUCUAAUGUUCUGCUCUUCCAGAUUUGGGGAAAUCUUUGUCUCUUUUAUGCUACCAACAAUUUGAUAGUGUGAAAAAAGAUAUGAUGUAUCUUUCUUUUUCCUCCCUUCCUGAUUCCUCCAGAAUUCAAAAACUUUUGAGUAUUCUUUUUUAUU
Canis lupus familiaris (dog) is the source of this 972-nucleotide long non-coding RNA. RefSeq lists it as uncharacterized. The transcript has 5 exons. The record is from RefSeq and is a predicted model, not a curated record. Lineage: Eukaryota; Metazoa; Chordata; Mammalia; Carnivora; Canidae.